GCGGGUGUAGUUCAAUGGUAGAACAUCAGCUUCCCAAGCUGAUAGCGUGGGUUCGAUUCCCAUCACCCGCUCCA
Molecule: transfer RNA, 74 nt
Filed under: Candidatus Thiomargarita nelsonii
Lineage: Bacteria; Pseudomonadati; Pseudomonadota; Gammaproteobacteria; Thiotrichales; Thiotrichaceae
Also listed under: 5 other names
Description: tRNA-Gly
Rfam family: tRNA
About the family: Transfer RNA (tRNA) molecules are approximately 80 nucleotides in length. Their secondary structure includes four short double-helical elements and three loops (D, anti-codon, and T loops).
Source: RNAcentral